AUGGACCGUUUCCGUAUGGCGGCUUCCCAACCCAACAAACCAACGAUGAAGGAGGAUGGCGAAGAUGAGAUGGCGGGAUGGUGGGAGAAGGCUGCGAAGAAGCUUAGAGAGGAGGAUGCAGCCAAGCUAAAGAAGAAGAAGGAAGAUGAGCUUGAGAAGGAGAGGAAGGCAAAACAGAGAGCGUCAAAUGCGAUGCGCGCUAGGGAGCAAGCGUUGGUGAGGAAAUGUGAGGAGGCACAGAAGAAGCGUCAAAAGGAUUUUGAAGAAAGAACCAUGAAGCUUCGGGCAAUUGCAGCUGAAAAAGAAGAGAGGGACAAUCAGAUAUUCAUGGAGAGGGUGGUUAAGGAGGCUCACCUCAUAAGAAAAAGGGAGGAGGAAGAGGAAGAAGAUAGGAAGUAG
RNAcentral lists this ribosomal RNA (399 nucleotides) under Triticum aestivum (bread wheat). RNAcentral's name for it is "partial small subunit ribosomal RNA". The record is from RNAcentral. Lineage: Eukaryota; Viridiplantae; Streptophyta; Magnoliopsida; Poales; Poaceae.